AGCCUCAAGGCUUAAUACAAUGUCUUUCACAAUGUUUUGUGUUCAUUCUUUUACAAAGAGGACCAAUCAUUUCAUGGAGUGGUAUCUUGACAUGAACUUGAAUUGGAUUUAAGUAUGGCAGUUUGCCUCAGCCUCACCUGUCACCUUAGCAAUUUCAGAGGGAAGAGGAUAAGGAAGAAUGAUAUCCAACAUCCUAACCACAAAGACAAUAUUAACUUAAGAUGAAUAAAAAAGGGGGAUUUGUAAACAUGAAAAUAUUGUAAAACAUAUAAUUUAAUUGUUCCUAUUUAUUGUAUAUGGCCCAAGGAA
This 309-nucleotide long non-coding RNA is filed under the name Monodelphis domestica (gray short-tailed opossum). RNAcentral's name for it is "lncRNA (ENSMODG00000050343.1)". Lineage: Eukaryota; Metazoa; Chordata; Mammalia; Didelphimorphia; Didelphidae. The record is from RNAcentral.